GGGCUUGUGGUUUAGUGGUAUAAUACUCCCUUAGCACCGUAGCCUGAGCACCGAAAGAUGCAUCGUGGCACUUGCCUGGGAGUGGUCCGGGGUUCGAUUCCCCGCGAGUCCA
Jackrogersella minutella is the source of this 112-nucleotide non-coding RNA. Lineage: Eukaryota; Fungi; Ascomycota; Sordariomycetes; Xylariales; Hypoxylaceae. The record is from the annotation of a GenBank genome assembly.